RNAcentral lists this ribosomal RNA (454 nucleotides) under uncultured bacterium. RNAcentral describes it as "bacterial SSU rRNA". It matches the Rfam family "Bacterial small subunit ribosomal RNA", at positions 29 to 494 of the family's 1533-position model. The record is from RNAcentral.
AAUUAACGCUGGCAGAGUGCAUAACACAUGCAAGUCGAGCGAGGUGGCGGCGUAUCGCGCCUAGCGGCAGACGAGUGAGCAACACGUAAGCAAUCUGCCCCCAAAAGAGGAAUAACCCGCCGAAAGGCGGGCUAAUACUUCGUACUAUCUUUGAGAGGCAUCUUUCGAGGAUGAAAGGCCAGCAAUGGUCGUUUGGGGAGGAGCUUGCGGCCCAUCAGCUAGUUGGCGGGAUAACAGCCCACCAAGGCUAUGACGGGUACCCGGACUGAAAGGUCGCACGGGCACGGAGGCACUGAGACACGGGCCUCACUUCUACGGAAGGCAGCAGUGGGGAAUUUUUGGGACAAUGGGCGAAAGCCUGAUCCAGCAACUCUGCGUGAGGGAUGAAAUCUUUCGGGAUGUAAACCUCUUUUAUCAGGGACGAAAAAAUGACGGUACCUGGUGAAUAAGCCAC